RNAcentral lists this non-coding RNA (28 nucleotides) under Cricetulus griseus (Chinese hamster). The record is from RNAcentral. Lineage: Eukaryota; Metazoa; Chordata; Mammalia; Rodentia; Cricetidae.
AAACAAGUUCUGUGGGACGAGAGCAAGU